UUUAAUGGAGAGUUUGAUCCUGGCUCAGGACGAACGCUGGCGGCGUGCCUAAUACAUGCAAGUCGAGCGGGGUUAGUUAGAAGCUUGCUUCUAACUAACCUAGCGGCGGACGGGUGAGUAACACGUAGGCAACCUGCCCACAAGACAGGGAUAACUACCGGAAACGGUAGCUAAUACCCGAUACAUCCUUUUUCUGCAUGGGAGAAGGAGGAAAGGCGGAGCAAUCUGUCACUUGUGGAUGGGCCUGCGGCGCAUUAGCUAGUUGGUGGGGUAAAGGCCUACCAAGGCGACGAUGCGUAGCCGACCUGAGAGGGUGAUCG
RNAcentral lists this ribosomal RNA (320 nucleotides) under Paenibacillus polymyxa. RNAcentral describes it as "bacterial SSU rRNA". It matches the Rfam family "Bacterial small subunit ribosomal RNA", at positions 1 to 306 of the family's 1533-position model. The record is from RNAcentral. Lineage: Bacteria; Bacillati; Bacillota; Bacilli; Caryophanales; Paenibacillaceae.